UAACAAGGUUUCCGUAGGUGAACCUGCGGAAGGAUCAUUACCGAGUUGAUUCGAGCUCCGGCUCGACUCUCCCACCCAAUGUGUACCUACCUCUGUUGCUUUGGCGGGCCGCGGUCCUCCGCACCGGCGCCCUUCGGGGGGCUGGCCAGCGCCCGCCAGAGGACCAUAAAACUCCAGUCAGUGAACUUCGCAGUCUGAAAAACAAGUUAAUAAACUAAAACUUUCAACAACGGAUCUCUUGGUUCUGGCAUCGAUGAAGAACGCAGCGAAAUGCGAUAAGUAAUGUGAAUUGCAGAAUUCAGUGAAUCAUCGAAUCUUUGAACGCACAUUGCGCCCCUUGGUAUUCCGAGGGGCAUGCCUGUUCGAGCGUCAUUUCAACCCUCAAGCUCUGCUUGGUAUUGGGCCCCGUCCUCCACGGACGCGCCUUAAAGACCUCGGCGGUGGCGUCUUGCCUCAAGCGUAGUAGAAAACACCUCGCUUUGGAGCGCACGGCGUCGCCCGCCGGACGAACCUUUGAAUUAUUUCUCAAGGUUGACCUCGGAUCAGGUAGGGAUACCCGCUGAACUUAAGCAUAU
RNAcentral lists this ribosomal RNA (575 nucleotides) under Neofusicoccum parvum. RNAcentral describes it as "eukaryotic LSU rRNA". The stretch from base 219 to 372 matches the Rfam family "5.8S ribosomal RNA". The record is from RNAcentral. Lineage: Eukaryota; Fungi; Ascomycota; Dothideomycetes; Botryosphaeriales; Botryosphaeriaceae.